AUCUUCAUAGCUCAAUGUUUAGAGCACUGGUCUUGUAAACCAGGGGUUGUGAGUUCGAUUCUCACUGGAGGCU
Molecule: transfer RNA, 73 nt
Filed under: Octopus vulgaris (common octopus)
Lineage: Eukaryota; Metazoa; Mollusca; Cephalopoda; Octopoda; Octopodidae
Also listed under: 1 other name
Rfam family: tRNA
About the family: Transfer RNA (tRNA) molecules are approximately 80 nucleotides in length.
Source: Rfam by way of RNAcentral